ACGGGCUUCGGCCUGGUGGCGAGUGGCGAACGGGUGAGUAAUAUAUCGGAACGUACCCAAGAGUGGGGGAUAACGUAGCGAAAGUUACGCUAAUACCGCAUACGAUCUAAGGAUGAAAGCAGGGGACCGCAAGGCCUUGUGCUCCUGGAGCGGCCGAUAUCUGAUUAGCUAGUUGGUGAGGUAAAGGCUCACCAAGGCCACGAUCAGUAGCUGGUCUGAGAGGACGACCAGCCACACUGGAACUGAGACACGGUCCAGACUCCUACGGGAGGCAGCAGUGGGGAAUUUUGGACAAUGGGCGCAAGCCUGAUCCAGCAAUGCCGCGUGAGUGAAGAAGGCCUUCGGGUUGUAAAGCUCUUUUGUCAGGGAAGAAACGGUAGAGGCUAAUAUCCUUUGCUAAUGACGGUACCUGAAGAAUAAGCACCGG
This 427-nucleotide ribosomal RNA is filed under the name unidentified bacterium TMB826. RNAcentral's name for it is "bacterial SSU rRNA". It matches the Rfam family "Bacterial small subunit ribosomal RNA", at positions 73 to 496 of the family's 1533-position model. The record is from RNAcentral.